This 216-nucleotide long non-coding RNA is filed under the name Ananas comosus (pineapple). RNAcentral's name for it is "long non-coding RNA (ACOM_LNC013310)". Lineage: Eukaryota; Viridiplantae; Streptophyta; Magnoliopsida; Poales; Bromeliaceae. The record is from RNAcentral.
AUAAAACUAAAAUUCUAUUCUUACUUACGUAAAAUUGUGGGGAAUUUAUGACCGCCACAAUAUGCACAUUUUUUGUGACAUCUUUCAACUUAUUCUCACUAUUAAUCUUAAUCCAAAUUAACAUAUACUUAUUGUAGAAAUUUUUUAAUUAUUGCCACUUAUUCGAUGCACUAUAUGUGGCCAUAGCAAAUUUUGGUCACAAAAACAAUAAGAAAC